Molecule: RNA transcript, 4206 nt
Organism: Ochotona princeps (American pika)
Lineage: Eukaryota; Metazoa; Chordata; Mammalia; Lagomorpha; Ochotonidae
Gene: QKI
Gene name: QKI, KH domain containing RNA binding
Exons: 8
Source: RefSeq, a predicted model, not a curated record
GGGCGGGCGCGCGGGGCCGGCCGCCCCGGGGCUCGGCGCGGGAGCCGGCGCGGGAGCCGGCGCGGGGGCCGGCGCGGAGCGGGACGCGGCGUCCCGAGCGGCCGGCGGCCGGGGCUCGCCCCCGCCCCUCCCUGCUCCCCGGCGGCGGCGGCGGCGGGCGGAGUGAGCGGCGGAGCCUGGAAUAUGGUCGGGGAAAUGGAAACGAAGGAGAAGCCGAAGCCCACCCCAGAUUACCUGAUGCAGCUGAUGAACGACAAGAAGCUCAUGAGCAGCCUGCCCAACUUCUGCGGGAUCUUCAACCACCUCGAGCGGCUGCUGGACGAAGAAAUUAGCAGAGUACGGAAAGACAUGUACAAUGACACAUUAAAUGGCAGUACAGAGAGAAGGAGUGCAGAGCUGCCUGAUGCUGUGGGACCUAUUGUUCAGUUACAAGAGAAACUUUAUGUGCCUGUUAAAGAAUACCCAGAUUUUAAUUUUGUUGGAAGGAUCCUUGGACCUAGAGGGCUUACAGCUAAGCAACUUGAAGCGGAAACAGGAUGUAAAAUAAUGGUCCGAGGCAAAGGCUCGAUGAGGGAUAAGAAGAAGGAGGAGCAAAAUAGAGGCAAGCCCAAUUGGGAGCAUCUGAAUGAAGAUUUGCAUGUACUGAUCACUGUGGAAGAUGCUCAGAACAGGGCAGAAAUCAAACUGAAGAGAGCAGUGGAAGAAGUGAAGAAAUUAUUGGUACCUGCAGCAGAAGGAGAAGACAGCCUGAAGAAGAUGCAGCUGAUGGAGCUCGCGAUUCUGAAUGGCACCUACAGAGAUGCCAACAUUAAAUCACCAGCCCUUGCCUUUUCUCUUGCAGCAACAGCCCAGGCUGCCCCACGGAUCAUUACCGGGCCUGCGCCUGUUCUUCCACCAGCUGCCCUGCGUACUCCUACGCCAGCUGGCCCUACCAUAAUGCCUUUGAUCAGACAAAUACAGACCGCUGUCAUGCCAAACGGAACUCCUCACCCAACUGCUGCAAUAGUCCCUCCAGGGCCUGAAGCUGGUUUAAUCUACACACCCUACGAGUACCCCUACACGUUGGCACCAGCUACGUCAAUCCUUGAGUAUCCUAUUGAACCCAGCGGGGUGUUAGAGUGGAUUGAAAUGCCAGUCAUGCCUGAUAUUUCAGCCCAUUGACUUGCUGGAUGGAGGACUAGCGAACAGCAGCUGUUCCAACACGACCAGUCAAUGUGGAACACACUGUUUCUGUGCAACCCCUUUGUUUUUCCACACAGAAUUCAAAUCCUUUUUUUUCCUGAAUUGUACAUGACCUUGGUGCUGCAUGCAUGCUGUGCUGUGGACUUCUAGGACUUCGAUGUUUUAAGGGAUUUUUUUUCCUCCAGCAUUAAUACUGAUUUAUAGAAAUUUGAAAGUCUAAUGAACCUGAACACUAAGAGUUAAACUCAAAAAUGCAUUGUUCAGUUAAAGCAAGCUACAGUGCUCUGUAUGUUAUCUGUGUGUGUGCAUGCACUCAGGUGCCUUCUGUUUUAUGAACAAGUACGUUUUGUUGUACAUGUUUUCCGUUCAUCUCUGCAUCUCUGUAUGAAAUAAUUACAGGUCAGAAUCGUACCACAGAACUGUUGAUGAAAGCCUUGUUUCUUUUGCAUAUUUCUCAAAGCAUUUUUAAAAUAACCUGUAACCUGUAACCUCCAAUUUCCUCUCUAUUAAUCUCUGUCCUGUGGCCCCGUGCAUGCUUCCCCCCAGAACUCCUGUCUGCUGCGCCCAGAGCAUCUGCUCCAGGAGCUAGGGCUCGUGGCUCCCACGGGCCUAGGGCUCGCUACCGCUGCUCCUAGUCUGGCAUUGGCCACGUUGCCCUGUGGAGUUACAGUCCUGAGUGCCGAGCUUCUCCAGGAAGAGGGGUGAUAGACCAGUUUACUGCUUAGAAACCUCAAGAGGCACUGCUGUAGAGUUUCUCACCAGAAAACUAUUGUUUUCUUUGAUGGGAAAUUUUUACUCCUAAGACCUGAAUUAUUAGACUGGCAGAAUUAACAAUAAAAUACCAUUUUCUAAUUGGAAUUCAUAAGACGAGAAAUAAUAAAUACUAAGUGAAGUCUGUUAUUAUCAGUUUUAUUUCUUGCUUUGCAACCUAAGCAGUAAAACUUAACCAUCUGAAGAACUGAGAGAAUUCUCGUAAAUUGCUGUUACCAUAAACUUGCACACAGAUAACAUGCAUGCUGUAAAUCAACUCUCACAUUAAAUUAUCUUAAAAUGCGCAGUGCCUUUCAAAACAGUGCAGACAUGUGUGUUGAUGGUAGUGAGGAGAUUGGUGUUAGCAUCAAAUCUUCAUUGAUGACUAAUUUUUAAUUCCCUUCCUUUUAUCUUUAGGUAUGGCUUUCCCAACGAAAGGCUAAGAAUUCAAGAACGGUCUUAACUGAACCCUCAUCAGAUCUGAAUUUAACAAAUGCUUAGUCUCAGCAGCCUCCGGGGAGAAAGCUCAGCCUAGCAGUCAGUGACUUACUUGCACUUUUUUGCACAUAAAGUUAAAAAGUUGUUAUUAAUUUGGUUUAGCCGGUCAUAUUACCCAGUAUCAGUAAUUUAUAAAGGAGUGUAUAGUAGUAAACUGACUGCUAAGUGUACUACACUGUUCGCUUUACUAAUCACCUAAUUCAUUGCAGUUCAUUCUUAUUGACUUAGAGUUUAAAACCACAAUCUGUAGGCUUUCAGGAUUGCUUUUAAACCUUUUUAAGUAAUAAACUCUGGAAGUGGUCUUAAGGUUAGCAGAUAAUUCUCCGUAUGAGACAUGGCAUUAUUGAAGUUGUCCUGUAAGCAAGGCACUUCAGUGAAUAUGUGACUAGUAAAGCUUCAAUGUGUUUGCAUCUGACAGCUCAUGAAGUACUGUGACUUGGGAACUGUAAAUGAACAGAUGAAAUAGGUUAAGGGCAAGAUGUUUAAAAUAAAUGCAAUAUUAAUAGAUGCAUAUAUACAUGACAUGGUUACCUUUGAAACUACUGUGCCUUAGCAUAUUUCCUAAAGCAAAUUUUUGUAGUAAGUGACAUUUGGAGUCCAUUUUGAUAAACCUGCUGUUAAUGUUUCUUCCCCUUGUGAAUGUUUUCUAACUUUGUCUUGGUAAUUGCGAUUUAACUAGGUGCGGUGGCUACUAAAGUUCGAAGGCACGAUAUGCGUGUCCAUCCUUACCAAAGGAUUGUGACCGCAGACCGAGCCGCCACCGGCAACUAACCUAUGACCUUCUGACCUCUGAACUCUUCACCCAAUGAUGACCUGACCAUGCCUGCCUGCUGAUCAGUUAACUGGUAAUCGCCUUUGCUUGCCUGUCGUCAGCGCAGCGAGCUGAGGCACUUGUCCGUUCGUCUUACCAUCUAACCAAACAAAAGACAAAGAAAUUGUUGUCCUCCAACUCAGCUUCUUUUCUUUUUCCCAUUUGGGUGAACGUGGUUCUAGAAACUGCACUGAAUAGUAGUAAAGCAAUAAGGCCCAAUUCAUCCCACAGCACUGACCGUCUUUAAAUGUCCCCCUCUGAGUGAACGGUAAGAAGGGGGGACAGCUGGCCCUUAACUACUCAUUGACAGAGGCAGUUACUGUGAGACUUCUAGGAACCUUUCUCUUCUCAUAGCGAAGUCAAAGCUCUCUGAAUGUACUGUGUGAUGAUACAUCAUGCAUGAACCUUCGGUCAGGGAUGUCAUUGGGGAAGUGAUUUCAAAAAGUAUUCGGAAUCUGAUACGCUGUUUGGUCACUACAGUGCCCUCACAGGGCGGAGUGGCAGCCUUGUUACAUUGCCUGCCAAUGUUUUGAAGUAUUAAAAGAAAGUGUGCCAUGAGAAGAAAGCAUAACGAGGAGCUUGAAAAUUAAUGCCAAGUAAAAAACUGCAACACUAUUUUUAAAAAGAUGAAUAUCUGAGUUAAAAUGACUGAACCUUUAUUUUACACCUCCGUUAAAAAUAUACGAGAACAAGGUACAUGCAUUAUGUGUCACAUUACUGGGCAAACUGUUCAAGUGUUUUUUUUAAACCUCCCUGUAUAGAAAAAAAUCAUUAAGGAUGUAAAAGCCAUGCUUGCCUACUUGCUGUAUACAUGUAAUGAAAUUGUAGAUAAAGUGUAGUGCAUUGAGACAAAUGAACAAAAAGUAGAUUCUUUUACUAUACAAGGGUGCUGGUGCAGAAAAAAUAUAUAUAUUUUUGGAAAUGUAGCAUUUUAUACUUUCAAGUGUUAUAAAAAAAAAGAAAAA